This 1268-nucleotide long non-coding RNA is filed under the name Homo sapiens (human). Its description in RNAcentral is "HSALNT0334308". Lineage: Eukaryota; Metazoa; Chordata; Mammalia; Primates; Hominidae. The record is from RNAcentral.
GUGACAGAGCAAGACUCUGUCUCCAAAAGCAAACAAACAAACAAACAAAACUAUACUGGGCGUGCCUGCCUAUCAGACACCCAAUCUUGCAAGACCACCAUUAAAAGUCUCACUUUUGCUGUUCUCCGAGUCUCUGAAUCCAUUCUUUGGGUUUGGAAGGGUGAGUUUGUUUUUCACAAUCUGGUGGCCAUACGGGGAUCUCUGUGCCUGCAUGGAGAGGGGAGACGUGCCCCACUUGAUUUAUGUGGCCCGCUCUGUCUGGAUGUCCCGGCUCCCCACAGAAGCCACAGACAAACCGGAGACCAUGAUUCAGGAGAUAACAAAAGUGACACAGGAAGAAAAGCAGGCACCGCGGCAACCAGACAACCUCGUGCACGAACCACGGUGGGAAAAUGGGACUGUCACCACUUCCAGCCUGGCGACUUGGUGCUAAUUAAGACUUGGAAGGAAGACAAUCUCCACCCAAGCUGGGAAGGUUCCUAUCAAGUGCUCGUGAUCACUGAGACAGCCGUAGGAACAGCUGAACGGGGUGGACACUCACACUCGGGUCAAGAGACUGGUAAAAGAAACCCCAGAAGGAAGGGAAAAAGAAACUUUGCUCUGGUGGAGGAAACAAACAUGGACACAUUGUGAGAGUUCCAGGAAGUGGCCACUUGGAGGUGGUAUCAAAGUGCUGUGGGAAUCCACUUGGGAUUGCUGGAGGAGAAGCCAGUUGCCAUAUUGUGAGGAUGCUCAAGCAACCUUAUGAAGAGGUCUACAUGGUGAAGAACUAAGGCCUACUAUCAAAAACAAACACUAAUUUGCCAGACAUGUGAGUGAGUAUAUUGGAAGUGGAUCCUCCAACCUUCUAAGACUUGACAUGACUACAACCCCUGCCAACACCUUGAAUGAAACUUCAUAAGAGAACCUAAUCCAGAAUCACAUAGCUAAGCUAUUCCUGGAUUUCUGACCCAUAGAAACUAUGAGAUAAUUGCUUCUUGUUUCGAGUCACUAAAUUUGAGGGUAAUUGUUACAUAGCAACAGAUAACCAAUACAAUGAUAAGUGAAGAGUAAGGCCUGAGAAAUGACCGUUUAAUUUAAUAUGAAAGUCACUGACUACUUUGAAAAGAGCAGUUUCAGCAGAGCGAUGUGGGCAAAAGCCUAAUUAAAAUGUGCUCACAGAUAAUGAGAGAAGAGAAAGUGGAGACAGAUAACUGACCAUUCUUUCCAUAAGUUUUGCUGUAGGCCGGGCGCUGUGGCUCAUGCCUGUAAUCCCAGCACUUUGGGAG